This 410-nucleotide ribosomal RNA is filed under the name uncultured bacterium. Its description in RNAcentral is "partial 16S ribosomal RNA". It matches the Rfam family "Bacterial small subunit ribosomal RNA", at positions 355 to 755 of the family's 1533-position model. The record is from RNAcentral.
UGGGGAAUAUUGCACAAUGGGCGCAAGCCUGAUGCAGCCAUGCCGCGUGUGUGAAGAAGGCCUUCGGGUUGUAAAGCACUUUCAGCGAGGAGGAAGGUGGUGAGCUUAAUACGCUCAUCAAUUGACGUUACUCGCAGAAGAAGCACCGGCUAACUCCGUGCCAGCAGCCGCGGUAAUACGGAGGGUGCAAGCGUUAAUCGGAAUUACUGGGCGUAAAGCGCACGCAGGCGGUUUGUUAAGUCAGAUGUGAAAUCCCCCGGGCUCAACCUGGGAACUGCAUUUGAAACUGGCAAGCUAGAGUCUCGUAGAGGGGGGUAGAAUUCCAGGUGUAGCGGUGAAAUGCGUAGAGAUCUGGAGGAAUACCGGUGGCGAAGGCGGCCCCCCUGGACGAAGACUGACGCUCAGGUGCG